GUGCCAGCAGCCGCGGUAAUACGUAGGGGGCGAGCGUUGUCCGGAAUUACUGGGCGUAAAGCGCGCGCAGGCGGCCUAUUAAGUCAGGUGUUAAAAUGCGGAGCUUAACUCCGUAUCGCACUUGAAACUGGUAGGCUUGAGUGCAGGAGAGGGAAGUGGAAUUCCCAGUGUAGCGGUGAAAUGCGUAGAUAUUGGGAGGAACACCAGUGGCGAAGGCGACUUCCUGGACUGUAACUGACGCUCAGGCGCGAAAGCUAGGGGAGCAAACAGGAUUAGAUACCCUGGUAGUCCUAGCCGUAAACGAUGGGUACUAGGUGUUGGGGGUUUCAAUCCUCCAGUGCCGCAGUUAACGCAUUAAGUACCCCGCCUGGGGAGUACGGCCGCAAGGCUGAAACUCAAAUGAAUUGACGG
RNAcentral lists this ribosomal RNA (411 nucleotides) under uncultured bacterium. Its description in RNAcentral is "bacterial SSU rRNA". It matches the Rfam family "Bacterial small subunit ribosomal RNA", at positions 505 to 916 of the family's 1533-position model. The record is from RNAcentral.